RNAcentral lists this non-coding RNA (191 nucleotides) under bovine gut metagenome. The record is from RNAcentral.
UUCAAGGUUCUUUACAUAUAAAGAUUAAUAGGGAAACAAGUGUAAGUCUUGUACUGUACCCGCAGCCGUAAUCUUCAUAAAAAGACCCUUAAAUCUAUAAAACCACUGACAAAACUAUUCAAUAAUUGAAUAUUAGUAGUUGGGAAGGUGAUAAGGGUUGAAGUAAGUCGGAAGACCUGCCUGAAAAUAAU